This is a non-coding RNA of Strongylocentrotus purpuratus (purple sea urchin), 149 nucleotides long. The record is from Rfam. Lineage: Eukaryota; Metazoa; Echinodermata; Echinoidea; Camarodonta; Strongylocentrotidae.
CUGCCAGCCGCAGUACCCGAACCGGUCCUACUCCCCAAGAGGCCAUCCCCAAGGGAGCUCAUGCUGCGGGGCCCUGAGCAAGCCCUCCGCUGGCGCCUAUCAAACGACACAGGCCUGAUCCUCGCGGACCAGGCCUGUGUUUUUUACGC